CCUGCCAGUGUCUCCGCCGGUUGAAAGCGCGUGUCUGCGUCGGGUUCUGUUGGAGUGCGUUCGGUGUGCCGUGGGUCCGCGCUGCUUCCACCCAACUUCCUGUUAGUUUCUCUCCUGUCACAAUGGCAUGAUCUCGGCUCACUGCGACCUCUGCUUCCUGGGUUCAAGGAUUCUCCUGCCUCAGCCUCCCAAGUAGCUGGGAUUAC
This 206-nucleotide long non-coding RNA is filed under the name Homo sapiens (human). RNAcentral's name for it is "non-protein coding lnc-PDCD2-1:3". Lineage: Eukaryota; Metazoa; Chordata; Mammalia; Primates; Hominidae. The record is from RNAcentral.